CCUACGGGAGGCAGCAGUGAGGAAUUUUGCACAAUGGGGGAAACCCUGAUGCAGCGACGCCGCGUGAGUGACGAAGGCCUUCGGGUCGUAAAGUUCUGUCAGUAGGGAAGAAAUGUGCUAUGGCUAAUAUCCAUGGUACUUGACGGUACCUAGCAAAGAAGCCCCGGCU
Molecule: ribosomal RNA, 169 nt
Filed under: uncultured bacterium
Lineage: Bacteria
Description: partial 16S ribosomal RNA
Rfam family: Bacterial small subunit ribosomal RNA
Source: RNAcentral